UAAUACGUAGGGGGCAAGCGUUGUCCGGAAUCAUUGGGCGUAAAGCGCGCGCAGGCGGUCCCUUAAGUCUGAUGUGAAAGCCCACGGCUCAACCGUGGAGGGCCAUUGGAAACUGGGGGACUUGAGUGCAGGAGAGGAGAGUGGAAUUCCUGGUGUAGCGGUGAAAUGCGUAGAGAUCAGGAGGAACACCGAUGGCGAAGGCAGCUCUCUGGCCUGUAACUGACGCUGAGGCGCGAAAGCGUGGGGAGCAAACAGGAUUAGAUACCCUGGUAGUCCACGCCGUAAACGAUGAGUGCUAGGUGUUAGAGGUUUUGAACCUUUAGUGCCGAAGUUAACACAUUAAGCACUCCGCCUGGGGAGUACGGUCGCAAGACUGAA
RNAcentral lists this ribosomal RNA (378 nucleotides) under uncultured bacterium. RNAcentral's name for it is "bacterial SSU rRNA". It matches the Rfam family "Bacterial small subunit ribosomal RNA", at positions 521 to 898 of the family's 1533-position model. The record is from RNAcentral.